UCCUGCUCUUCAGCUCCAUCCAAGGAGGUGAAUACUGGCUGUAUAACAACCUGGCUAUAACCACCAUGCCAAAUUCUGCUGUGCUAUUGGUUUGUUAGAUAUAGGAAGGUGUUGACAAGAGCAAAAAUGUUGCUUGAUUGUUGAGAAAAUGCCUCUGUGAGAGGUUUUAAUGGCUUCUUCCACUCACAUGAAGAUAAUAAAUACAGAAGUGAUAGUAAGUAACAUUUUCAUUGAAGGUAUUAAAUAAGAUUUUAUUGUAGCAUUAAAGGUGUAUCAAGAACCAGUGGUUUAGCACUAAAGUCAAGCCAAUUUAAAUGAAAGAUUUCCUGUGUGCAAGAGGCCUGGUCCACAGCCAUGGGAUCGUGGCAAGCUUCCACAGGGAAAACUCACCACAGGAAAACUGCAAACUGCACCCUUUUAUAGACCUUGGAGGGAGGAUUGAAGAAACCAGGAUUCCAAUUUUAUUUCUAAAGGCUUUCUAAUUUCCUGUCCAUUGUAGAAACCCUUUAAAUCUUGUUUGUUUCAUAUGAAUCUUCCUUGAGCACCUCAGAGCUCGUGUGCAGAGGUGCAGCCUCUCCAGUGCCUCCUUACCCACCCUGGGCUGUGUCUCAGCUGACAGAUCUUCACUUCCACUUCUCUUUUUCAGGAUUGCACCACGUUACACAUCCCAACCCUUCUGUUUCAGUAGCUGGUCCAGGUCUCCACAGGAAUCUGCUGUUUCCAUCUUCUGAAAGUACAUCUCCAUUUGGCCCCCAGCAGAGCACUUCAUGCUCUGCCCCUUUACAUUCUCUGUGGACACCAGAGCAUAAG
Long non-coding RNA from Cyanistes caeruleus (blue tit), 810 nucleotides. RefSeq lists it as uncharacterized. Lineage: Eukaryota; Metazoa; Chordata; Aves; Passeriformes; Paridae. The record is from RefSeq and is a predicted model, not a curated record.